Molecule: ribosomal RNA, 254 nt
Filed under: uncultured bacterium
Lineage: Bacteria
Description: partial 16S ribosomal RNA
Rfam family: Bacterial small subunit ribosomal RNA
Source: RNAcentral
UACGUAGGGUGCAAGCGUUGUCCGGAAUUAUUGGGCGUAAAGAGCUCGUAGGCGGUUUGUCGCGUCUGCUGUGAAAACCUAGGGCUUAACCCUGGGCCUGCAGUGGGUACGGGCAGACUAGAGUGCGGUAGGGGAGACUGGAAUUCCUGGUGUAGCGGUGAAAUGCGCAGAUAUCAGGAGGAACACCGGUGGCGAAGGCGGGUCUCUGGGCCGUAACUGGACGCUGAGGAGCGAAAGCAUGGGGAGCGAACAGG